CAGUAGCCGCGGUAAUACGAAGGGGGCUAGCGUUGUUCGGAAUGACUGGGCGUAAAGGGCGCGUAGGCGGCGGCCAAAGUCAGGCGUGAAAUUCCCGGGCUCAACCUGGGGGCUGCGUUUGAUACUUGGUUGCUUGAGUGGGGAAGAGGGUCGUGGAAUUCCCAGUGUAGAGGUGAAAUUCGUAGAUAUUGGGAAGAACACCGGUGGCGAAGGCGGCGACCUGGUCCUUUACUGACGCUGAGGCGCGAAAGCGUGGGGAGCAAACAGGAUUAGAUACCCCCGUAGUCCCUGUCUCUUAUAC
RNAcentral lists this ribosomal RNA (301 nucleotides) under uncultured bacterium. Its description in RNAcentral is "partial 16S ribosomal RNA". It matches the Rfam family "Bacterial small subunit ribosomal RNA", at positions 509 to 807 of the family's 1533-position model. The record is from RNAcentral.